RNAcentral lists this ribosomal RNA (442 nucleotides) under uncultured Anaerolineaceae bacterium. RNAcentral describes it as "bacterial SSU rRNA". It matches the Rfam family "Bacterial small subunit ribosomal RNA", at positions 927 to 1382 of the family's 1533-position model. Lineage: Bacteria; Bacillati; Chloroflexota; Anaerolineae; Anaerolineales; Anaerolineaceae. The record is from RNAcentral.
AAGCAGCGGAGCGUGUGGUUUAAUUCGAUGCUACACGAAGAACCUUACCAGGUUUGACAUGCAAGUGGUAGGAAUCUGAAAAGGGACCGACCCUUUCGGGGAGCUUGCACAGGUGCUGCAUGGCUGUCGUCAGCUCGUGUCGUGAGAUGUUCGGUUAAGUCCGCUAACGAGCGCAACCCUCACUGUGUGUUAUAUGUGUCACACGGGACUGCCGGUUUUAAGCCGGAGGAAGGUGGGGAUGACGUCAAGUCAGCAUGGCCUUUAUAUCCUGGGCUACACACACGCUACAAUGGUCGGUACAAUAGGUUGCCAAGCCGCGAGGCGGAGCCAAUCCACAAAGCCGGCCUCAGUUCAGAUUGUAGGCUGCAACUCGCCUGCAUGAAGAUGGAGUUGCUAGUAACCGCAGGUCAGCAAUACUGCGGUGAAUACGUUCCCGGGUCUU